RNAcentral lists this ribosomal RNA (406 nucleotides) under uncultured bacterium. RNAcentral describes it as "partial 16S ribosomal RNA". It matches the Rfam family "Bacterial small subunit ribosomal RNA", at positions 30 to 526 of the family's 1533-position model. The record is from RNAcentral.
AUUGAACGCUGGCGGCAGGCCUAACACAUGCAAGUCGAGCGAGCGGCGGACGGGUGAGUAAUGUCUGGGAAACUGCCUGAUGGAGGGGGAUAACUACUGGAAACGGUAGCUAAUCCCCCAUACCAUCAGAUGUGCCCAGAUGGGAUUGGCGAGUAGGUGGGGAAACGGCUAACAUAGGCGACGAUCCCUAGCUGGUCUGAGAGGAUGACCAGCCAAACUGGAACUGAGACACGGUCCAGACUCCUACGUGAGGCAGCAGUGGGGAAUAUUGCACAAUGGGCGCAAGCCUGAUGCAGCCAUGCCGCGUGUGUGAAGAAGGCCUUCGGGUUGUAAAGCACUUUCAGCGGGGAGGCGUUACCCGCAGAAGAAGCACCGGCUAACUCCGUGCCAGCAGCCGCGGUAAUAC